GAGAGAGAGACGCUUCUCCAGUGCGUCUGCAUCUCCCCCGCUCGCGGCUCUCUCCUCCCAGCCGCCUCGGAUAGCUGGAGGAGGAGGCAGUUAUCCAGGCGGCAGGCUCCACUUGGAGCGUUGAGCUCGUGCCGGGCUUCUGACUUCACGACCUCCUGUUACUUCUCAGCCCACUUUUACGAGGUAGGUGUGCGCUCACUCUUUCAUGCAACAAAUAUUUACCGAGGGCUUUCAGAGUGUGGGUGCUGGGCUAGACUUGGGGAUACAGUAGGGGACAGCAGCAGCCUGGAGGCUUUGUGAUAGUUGGAGAAAACGGAUGGUGAACUUAUGGGAGGUGAUGAGCAGGUGCGCUGGAG
This 356-nucleotide long non-coding RNA is filed under the name Dasypus novemcinctus (nine-banded armadillo). RNAcentral describes it as "lncRNA (ENSDNOG00000051744.1)". The record is from RNAcentral. Lineage: Eukaryota; Metazoa; Chordata; Mammalia; Cingulata; Dasypodidae.